AUUGAACGCUGGCGGCAGGCCUAACACAUGCAAGUCGAGCGAGCGGCGGACGGGUGAGUAAUGUAUGGGGAUCUGCCCUGCACUUCGGGAUAAGCCUGGGAAACUGGGUCUAAUACCGCAUAGUGUGGGAUUGGCCCGCGGCCUAUCAGCUGGUGGUGGGGGUAAUGGCCUACCCAGGCGGCGACGGGUAGCCGGCCUGAGAGGGUGACCGGCCACACUGGGACUGAGACACGGCCCAGACUCCUACGGGAGGCAGCAGUGGGGAAUAUUGCACAAUGGGCGGAAGCCUGAUGCAGCCAUGCCGCGUGUAUGAAGAAGGCCUUAGGGUUGUAAAGUACUUUCAGCGGGGAGGCGUUACCCGCAGAAGAAGCACCGGCUAACUCCGUGCCAGCAGCCGCGGUAAUAC
RNAcentral lists this ribosomal RNA (406 nucleotides) under uncultured bacterium. RNAcentral describes it as "partial 16S ribosomal RNA". It matches the Rfam family "Bacterial small subunit ribosomal RNA", at positions 28 to 526 of the family's 1533-position model. The record is from RNAcentral.